CUCUUUUAGUUUACCAAUUUAUACCCAAUACAGGAGAAUGUGACUUUCCAAUUAACAAAACGUGAUAAUGUAGACUGUUUCCUUCAGGACCCAAUUUCCAUUAAGGUACAGAUGACCACUGCGAGCGCGACCUUUGGUCUCCACCGUAGAACCAGAAGAGGUACGCUUGUGGUGUAGAGGCUGCCACGUCGGUACCGGGCUCCCGCGGCUCGACUAGAGGGUUCCGAGGAGCGGCUGCGUACUGUUACGGGUGGAGGUACGACUAACUCGGAAACGUGAACAGGUUGUACUAGUUAAUAGACAAU
RNAcentral lists this ribosomal RNA (305 nucleotides) under Triticum aestivum (bread wheat). RNAcentral's name for it is "partial small subunit ribosomal RNA". The record is from RNAcentral. Lineage: Eukaryota; Viridiplantae; Streptophyta; Magnoliopsida; Poales; Poaceae.